UAGGGCAAGAGAAGUCUCCAUGGGGCUGAAAUCUUAGCACUUCAACUCUGGAAGAGCUCUCAUCCGCAUCAGCCUCCCAUUUGACAGAAAACGAGUUGCAGAAGACCCCACGGGUGCUGCAAGAGACCAGCUGGAACGGCUCGAGGACCGCCCGGGUCAGAGAGUACUUGGGCAGUGUGGAGCUGCUGAGAUGAAAGUAUCCCACAGUGCCAUGGGCCUAUGGGUGCCAGCGCUAGCCCAGGAUAAAAAGCUUCCUUGUGCCGGUUUGUCAAACCUGGUCUGUGGUUUCCACUGGAACUGGAGAUGAGUUUGCCUCCUUGAUGGACUCCAAACCCUUCAACACCUGGUGGCCUGACUUCACUUUCAACCUGUGCCAGCAGGCAGCAGGACUUGACUGCUGGGACAUCCCCACCCAUGAUGGGAGCACUGGCGGAAGCAAACUGCACAUAUGGGAGAAAGAGGGCUCUGGGCUGGGGUUAGGGGGUGGGCUGUAGGAUGUGCAUUCCCUGCACAGAUAUCGCCUGCAGGAGACCCCACUUAAGUUUGCCCUCGAGAUGGAAGAAGCCGGGCAGAAGUUCACCGAUGUGGGGGUCCAGACUAGUUUUAUUGACCAGCCUGGGAAUGCCACACUACAGGAGACACCUACUGGAACCCCUCCUCUUCUUGGGACUUGAUCAUGGAAAAAAAUUAUA
This 692-nucleotide long non-coding RNA is filed under the name Rattus norvegicus (Norway rat). RNAcentral's name for it is "long non-coding RNA NONRATT026890". The record is from RNAcentral. Lineage: Eukaryota; Metazoa; Chordata; Mammalia; Rodentia; Muridae.